RNAcentral lists this ribosomal RNA (491 nucleotides) under uncultured bacterium. RNAcentral's name for it is "partial 16S ribosomal RNA". It matches the Rfam family "Bacterial small subunit ribosomal RNA", at positions 29 to 506 of the family's 1533-position model. The record is from RNAcentral.
AGUGAACGCUGGCGGUAGGCCUAACACAUGCAAGUCGAACGGCAGCACAGUAAGAGCUUGCUCUUACGGGUGGCGAGUGGCGGACGGGUGAGGAAUACAUCGGAAUCUACUUUUUCGUGGGGGAUAACGUAGGGAAACUUACGCUAAUACCGUAUACGACCUACGGGUGAAAGCAGGGGAUCUUCGGACCUUGCGCGAUUGAAUGAGCCGAUGUCGGAUUAGCUAGUUGGCGGGGUAAAGGCCCACCAAGGCGACGAUCCGUAGCUGGUCUGAGAGGAUGAUCACCCAAAAGGGAACUGAGAAACGGCCCAGCCCCCUACGGGAGGCAGCAGGGGGGAAUUUUGGAAAAGGGGCGAAAGCCUGCCCCAGCCAAACCGGGGGGGUGAAGAAGGCCUUCGGGUUGUAAAGCCCUUUUGUUGGGAAAGAAAAGCAGCAGGUUAAUCCCCCGCUGUUCUGACGGUACCAAAAGAAUAAGCACCGGCUAACUUCGU